AACGAACGCUGGCGGCAUGCCUAACACAUGCAAGUCGAACGAGACCUUCGGGUCUAGUGGCGCACGGGUGCGUAACGCGUGGGAACCUGCCCUUAGGUUCGGAAUAACUCCCCGAAAGGGGUGCUAAUACCGGAUAAUGUCUUCGGACCAAAGAUUUAUCGCCUUUGGAUGGGCCCGCGUUGGAUUAGCUAGUUGGUAGGGUAAAAGCCUACCAAGGCGACGAUCCAUAGCUGGUCUGAGAGGAUGAUCAGCCAAACUGGGACUGGGACACGGCCCAGACCCCUACGGGGGGCAGAAGGGGGGAAUUUGGGACAAUGGGCGAAAGCCUGACCCAGCAAGGCCGGGGGGGUGAUGAAGGCUUUGGGGUUGAAAAGCUCUUUUACCCGGGAUGAUAAGAACAGUACCGGGAAAAAAAGCCCCGGCUAACUCCGU
This 432-nucleotide ribosomal RNA is filed under the name uncultured bacterium. RNAcentral's name for it is "partial 16S ribosomal RNA". It matches the Rfam family "Bacterial small subunit ribosomal RNA", at positions 29 to 506 of the family's 1533-position model. The record is from RNAcentral.